This is a long non-coding RNA of Ictalurus punctatus (channel catfish), 1129 nucleotides long. The record is from Ensembl. NCBI's taxonomy places the organism in Eukaryota, Metazoa, Chordata, Actinopteri, Siluriformes, Ictaluridae.
GUUUGGUGUUGUCCUGCUCUGGAUGGCAGCAUAUGUUGCUCCAAAAUGUGUACAUAUCUUUUUGUAUUAAUGAUGCCCUCACAGAUAUGAAGGUUACCCAUGCCAUGUGCCCUGACACACCCCCAUACCAUGACAGACGCUGGAUUUUGGACAUGACGCUGAUAACAGCUUUGAGGGUCCAUUUCCUCUUUGGCCUGGAGAACACAACGGCUGUUUUGUCCAAAAACUAUUUGAUAUGUUGACUCGUUGGACCACAAAACACGAUUCCGCUGUGCUACUGUCCAUCUUAGAUGACAGCGAGUCCAGAGAAGUCGGCGGUGCUACAGGACAGUGUUGAUGUCUGGCUUCUGCUUUGCAUAAUAAAGGCUUAACUUGCAUCUGUGGAUGCAGCGGCGAAUGGUGUUGACUGACGAAGGUUUACCAAAGUAUUCCUGAGCCUUUGUCAGGAUAUCCAUUACAGACUCAUGACGGUUUUUAAGACAGUGACGUCUGAGGGAUUGGAGAUCACGCACAUUCAGUAGUGGUUUUCGGCCUUGCCCUAUACGCACCGAGAUUUGACCAGAUUCCUUAAAUCUUUUAAUUAUAUUGUGCACUGUAGAAGAUGAAUUGCCUAAAAUCCUACCAAUUUGCCUUUGGGGAAUGUUGUUCUCAAAGAGUUGGAUUAUUCGCUGACGCAUCUGUUGGCAGAUUGGCGAGCCUCGACCCAUCCUUACUCUUGAAGGACUAGGCCUUUUUUGCUGUUAGUCCUAAAUUGCCCCAGUCCCAACCUUUUUUGGAACGUGGUCCAUGCAUCAAUUUCAAAAUAAACGUUUACCUUCAAAAAAACUAUACAGUUGACUAGCUAGAACACCAUAUUCCUUGUCUUUAUAGGUUUUUUGUUUAAAUACAAGUCAAAGUACAUUUACAAAUCUUUGUUUGGUACAGAUACAGAUGCAGAUACAGAUACAGGUACAGAUACAGAUACAGGUACAGAUACAGGUGCAGAUACAAGUACAGAUACAGGUGCAGAUACAGAUACAGACACAGGUGCAGAUACAGGUACAGAUGCAGGUACAGAUGCAGGUGCAGAUACAGAUACAAAUACAGGUACAGAUACAGAUACAGGCAUUGUGUUAUACCUUGAAAAGGC